UACGAAGGGGGCUAGCGUUGUUCGGAAUCACUGGGUGUAAAGCGCACGUAGGCGGAUGUGCCAGUCAGGGGUGAAAUCCCGGAGCUCAACUUCGGAACUGCCUCUGAUACAGCACGUCUUGAGUCCGGAAGAGGUGGGUGGAAUUCCUAGUGUAGAGGUGAAAUUCGUAGAUAUUAGGAAGAACACCGGUGGCGAAGGCGGCCCACUGGUCCGGUACUGACGCUGAGGUGCGAAAGCGUGGGGAGCAAACAGG
Molecule: ribosomal RNA, 253 nt
Filed under: uncultured bacterium
Lineage: Bacteria
Description: partial 16S ribosomal RNA
Rfam family: Bacterial small subunit ribosomal RNA
Source: RNAcentral